This 505-nucleotide ribosomal RNA is filed under the name uncultured bacterium. RNAcentral's name for it is "bacterial SSU rRNA". It matches the Rfam family "Bacterial small subunit ribosomal RNA", at positions 791 to 1300 of the family's 1533-position model. The record is from RNAcentral.
UAGUCCACGCCGUAAACGAUGAUCACUAGCUAUUGGCGAUACACUGUCAGUGGCACAGCGAAAGUGUUAAGUGAUCCACCUGGGGAGUACGAUCGCAAGGUUGAAACUCAAAGGAAUUGACGGGGGCCCGCACAAGCGGUGGAGCAUGUGGUUUAAUUCGAUGAUACGCGAGGAACCUUACCAGGGCUUAAAUGUAUGUUGACUUAUUGGGAAACCAGUAUUUCUUCGGACAAUAUACAAGGUGCUGCAUGGCUGUCGACAGCUCGUGCCGUGAGGUGUCAGGUUAAGUCCUAUAACGAGCGCAACCCCUUUUGUUAGUUGCCAGCACGUAAUGGUGGGACUCUAGCAAUACUGCCGGCGUAAGCCGCGAGGAAGGUGGGGACGACGUCAAAUCAUCAUGGCCUUUAUGCCUAGGGCGACACACGUGCUACAAUGGUCAGGACAGAGGGUAGCCAAACCCGCGAGGGGGGAGCCAAUCUCAGAAACCUGAUCUCAGUUCGGAUUG